RNAcentral lists this ribosomal RNA (647 nucleotides) under uncultured Bacteroidales bacterium. Its description in RNAcentral is "bacterial SSU rRNA". It matches the Rfam family "Bacterial small subunit ribosomal RNA", at positions 88 to 733 of the family's 1533-position model. Lineage: Bacteria; Pseudomonadati; Bacteroidota; Bacteroidia; Bacteroidales. The record is from RNAcentral.
GCGUCGACCGGCGCACGGGUGAGUAACGCGUAUCCAACCUGCCUCUGACUGAGGGAUAACCCGUCGAAAGUCGGCCUAAUACCUCAUGGCAUCGUCUGCGGGCAUCCAACGACGAUUAAAGAUUUCAUCGGUCAGAGAUGGGGAUGCGUCUGAUUAGCUAGUUGGCGGGGUAACGGCCCACCAAGGCGACGAUCAGUAGGGGUUCUGAGAGGAAGGUCCCCCACAUUGGAACUGAGACACGGUCCAAACUCCUACGGGAGGCAGCAGUGAGGAAUAUUGGUCAAUGGGCGAGAGCCUGAACCAGCCAAGUAGCGUGCAGGAAGACGGCCCUAUGGGUUGUAAACUGCUUUUAUGCGGGGAUAAAGUGAGGGACGUGUCCUUCAUUGCAGGUACCGCAUGAAUAAGGACCGGCUAAUUCCGUGCCAGCAGCCGCGGUAAUACGGAAGGUCCGGGCGUUAUCCGGAUUUAUUGGGUUUAAAGGGAGCGUAGGCCGUGGAUUAAGCGUGUUGUGAAUGCAGGUGCUCAACGUCUGCACUGCAGCGCGAACUGGUCCACUUGAGUGUGCACAACGCAGGCGGAAUUCGUCGUGUAGCGGUGAAAUGCUUAGAUAUGACGAAGAACUCCGAUUGCGAAGGCAGCUUGCGGGA